AUGUACCGUGCCCUCACACAUUCUAAGGUACCAGUGAGCAAUAACAAAAAAAAUUGGAAGGCAAAGAUUUCACUUAAAGUUAAAAUCGUUACAUGGUACCUUUGUAGGGGAGUUGUGUUAAACAAAGACAAUCUCGCACGGCAAAACUGGCCAGGAAAUAAGUAGUGUUGUUUUUUUACUCACGAUGAGGCAAUCAAAUACCUCUUUUUCCAAUGUCAGUUUGCUCGUUCUAUGUGGCCAGUCAUCCUAAUAGCGACAAAUUUAUAUCCGCCGAUAAGUGUUCCCAAUGUUUUUGGUCAUUGGUUGGACGGUAUUUCAAAUAGUUUUAAAACGCUAAUAAGGGUGACAGUGUAUGCCUUACUAUGGUCGCUUUGGUUAUGUAGGAAUGAUUUGGUUUUCAAUGACAAAAAUGCUUCUCCUUUAUAG
Molecule: ribosomal RNA, 426 nt
Filed under: Triticum aestivum (bread wheat)
Lineage: Eukaryota; Viridiplantae; Streptophyta; Magnoliopsida; Poales; Poaceae
Description: partial small subunit ribosomal RNA
Source: RNAcentral